This 3970-nucleotide long non-coding RNA is filed under the name Sorghum bicolor (sorghum). Its description in RNAcentral is "long non-coding RNA (SBIC_LNC011894)". The record is from RNAcentral. Lineage: Eukaryota; Viridiplantae; Streptophyta; Magnoliopsida; Poales; Poaceae.
ACAAAGUUUAUAAAAUUAACAUAGUCAUGGAGACCAGGACGUCGUAGGUUCACAAACUCUACUUAUAGACCUUUCCGUAAUGCGAUUAAGAUAGUGUUUAAUAUCAGCAGGAAGAAAUCUCUGAUAUCCAUUUCUUUUGUGUGCCAAUAAAUUCACAAAUAAGUUCCACCAUAUCUCCCUACCAUCUUGUCACACAUUCGAGUUUAUAUAUGUAAAUAUUAGUGCGUGUCGCAUGGGUGAUACUUCUUCCACAAAACUUAAAACAAAAGUGUUAUACUCAUUGUAUAAAUAUGUGUCGCUUUUGUUCUAUUCUAUGUAGACAUAUCACUCAUCGCAAUGCAAUGCUAUUCCAUUGUCUAAUGAUUGAGCCCAUCUUCUACCAUAUGCUAGAACAGUAAUCUUCAAAAUACAAAAGGUUGUCAUCAACUGACCAAAGACGACGACGAUAUGUCAUUGGUAGUAUCAUCUAAUCGAAUACAAUAACAGUUGAAGUGUAAUUCCACUAAGAGUCCGUGAAAAUGCAUGGCAAGUAGAGGCUAAUCGAGCUUACCACCUCAAUGGCGACGAUGUCAUUGUAAGUCCAGAAAUAUGCGGUCGGAGAGCACGUAUAGGAUGUGGACGCGGCAAUGUUGAAAGUUCGAUCUUAAUAUAUGUCACCUGCAACUGUCCUAUUUAUAGGCCCUAUAUAUAAACAAUUUAUUAAUAUUUAAGGUUAAAUUAAUAUUAAUUAUCAUAAACAAAAAUUAAAUUAAUAUUAAUUAUCAUAAACAAAACCGUAUUUGGAAUGCCUUUAGACUAUUAUGAUCUCUACAUUGACCCACCGAUCAUUAUUAAGAUGAAUAGAGGCCUCAAUAAAAAAAAUGAAAGCUGGAAAAGCAACCUUAUCUACCAACCACACACCCGUCAUCCACUCUCACUCUGCCUCCCCUCCGAUGAGGCUUCCGUCCACCGUCGCCUGCCUCAUCCCCUCCACCUCCACCUCCACCUCCACCUCCCUCGCCCGAGACCCCUCAUUCACCAACCAGCCACGCUCCCUCCACCAACGCUCGAGCUCGGCACGGCGCCACUCAAGGUCGCACCGGACCGCUCCCCCUCCUCAACCCUCGGCCAUGUCCCCUACUCUGCAGCUUGAUAACGGACCCGUCCAUGCUGCCUCCUCCGUCGCUACUGCUCGAGCUUGCCACGAGGAGCUUUGUUUGCUUGUGCACAACCAGAUCCACCACUGUUCUUCGCCCCUUUCCUCCAAGCACUGCUCUAGGAGAUCCAAGAAGUGCAGGAAAAGGUAAGCUGUAAGCCUCUACUGCUCCCUGAUCCGAUCAGCAACCACUGCCUACGUCUUGGCUCUUCACGAAAUCUUAAUCCUCAUGGUCAAAUAGCAAUAUGUGCAUAUAUAUUAUAAAUUCCUUUGCAUCCUGAUAUCAUAGUGCAGUUAAUAUUUGUAACAAAAAUGUUCUAUUGUUCAUGCUCAUAGAUAUUCAGAUACCUGCAAUUUUUUUGUAUCUACUAAGUGGAACCUGUAUUUAGCUUCCAUCUUAAAACUUGGAAGCAUUUUGAUGAAUGCAGAGGCUCCAGUGUCAACAAACAGGCUUGCAAUUCAGUUAUAUUUUUUUUUCCAUUUAGUUGUAGGAGAUUGUUCAGAAAAAACUUGUUGUUGUGGGUGAGAUAGUAUGACAUCCUAUUUGAUGGUUUUUGUUUUCUCUCUCAUUGCACUGUUAAGCUUGUACAUCCUACAUUGUUGUUGUCCAAGCCAUAACUACCAUUGCGAUAAGGUAUAGUAAACCUUGUAGACUGAAGAUAUAUGAUUUUCUUCAUGCUUUAGCUCUUGGGUGUGUGCAGUCAAUAUUUUCAGAAUUGUAGCUAAGUAAUAGGGGAAAUUAGGGUGCUGGUGCUUAAGGUCCUAAAUGAAAUGUAUAGAGCUCAAGAUUAUCUUGCCAGGUAUAUAGUAUUGAGGUGGCCUCUUUUUUUUCUUUGCCUUGUUUCUGUAUAGAUAUUCACCAGCAUGAUAUUUGCAAACUUGAAUGGACCCAUGAGAGGCAUCUUGAUUUUGUCCAUACUCCUUUCUGUUUGUUCGUAUUUUUUAGUUGUAGCUAUCACAUGGUUCUAUAAUUUUUAAUUAUCUAUGGUGGCUACAUCUAAUACUAAUAUUCUCAUCUGAUUAAGAUUAGAAGUGAAAUAAUUUAUUGCAGUGCACCUUUAUGAAAAGAUGGUGUUUGUGGUACUGUUGCCAUGAUAAUUUAGCAAUAUCAAAUGUAUUAGAAUGUGAUAUACCUGGGUUGUUUGUGCAGGUUCAUGUCUGGGAACUCUUUGUCGGUGUGAAACAUCAUGUCUGCAGAACGCCACAAAAACCGUUGGCACGCAGCUUGCCAAGGGCGAGGCAACGGAAAGUAAAUGGAUGUAAACACCCAAUGCCCUAGAGAUGAAUUUCAGAGAUUGUUCACCUCACCGCUGUAGAUAAACAAAUCAGAGGGGACUUACGACGGCUGCAGGCAAGUAGGCGAUGAAGCCCAGUGCCCGACGAACAAUGGGGGCAUGCCAGGGAUGAAUGGCGACGACGAGCUACGGAUGGGCAAGGGCGACUGCGGCUGGCGAUGGACAGAGGAUCGAUAGGGUUGAUCGACGUUGUGUGCGAUGGCGAAGGUGGCGCGCGAGAUCCAGGGACGAGGAGGUGAGGUUGCGCGCGGUGUCAUGCGAGGGCCAGGGACUUGUAGGUGAGGGCACGGUCGCGUGACUGGCGGCGCGGGGUGAUCACGGAAUUGAUCACGAUUGUUAGGGGAUUGAUUUUGCCUUCCUGAUCUGUUGCGGCUGUUACAGGAUUGAUGAUUUUUGCCUUCCUGUUUCGGGUGGUGGCAUUUGAUAAAGUCUCCACGCCUGGGGCUCAGCCGGGGUGGUAUUUUGAGGGAAGCCAACGGAGUCGCGGAGAGUGGAUCGCACCCACGCAGGCAGACGGACGAUGUUCAAUUGCCGCACGAAAAAGUGUCCAUUCUUUAGUCUUUUUAGUUGUAGGAGAUUGUUCAGAAAAAACUUGUUGUUGUGGGUGAGAUAGUAUGACAUCCUAUUUGAUGGUUUUUGUUUUCUCUCUCAUUGCACUGUUAAGCUUGUACAUCCUACAUUGUUGUUGUCCAAGCCAUAACUACCAUUGCGAUAAGGUAUAGUAAACCUUGUAGACUGAAGAUAUAUGAUUUUCUUCAUGCUUUAGCUCUUGGGUGUGUGCAGUCAAUAUUUUCAGAAUUGUAGCUAAGUAAUAGGGGAAAUUAGGGUGCUGGUGCUUAAGGUCCUAAAUGAAAUGUAUAGAGCUCAAGAUUAUCUUGCCAGGUAUAUAGUAUUGAGGUGGCCUCUUUUUUUUCUUUGCCUUGUUUCUGUAUAGAUAUUCACCAGCAUGAUAUUUGCAAACUUGAAUGGACCCAUGAGAGGCAUCUUGAUUUUGUCCAUACUCCUUUCUGUUUGUUCGUAUUUUUUAGUUGUAGCUAUCACAUGGUUCUAUAAUUUUUAAUUAUCUAUGGUGGCUACAUCUAAUACUAAUAUUCUCAUCUGAUUAAGAUUAGAAGUGAAAUAAUUUAUUGCAGUGCACCUUUAUGAAAAGAUGGUGUUUGUGGUACUGUUGCCAUGAUAAUUUAGCAAUAUCAAAUGUAUUAGAAUGUGAUAUACCUGGGUUGUUUGUGCAGGUUCAUGUCUGGGAACUCUUUGUCGGUGUGAAACAUCAUGUCUGCAGAACGCCACAAAAACCGUUGGCACGCAGCUUGCCAAGGGCGAGGCAACGGAAAGUAAAUGGAUGUAAACACCCAAUGCCCUAGAGAUGAAUUUCAGAGAUUGUUCACCUCACCGCUGUAGAUAAACAAAUCAGAGGGGACUUACGACGGCUGCAGGCAAGUAGGCGAUGAAGCCCAGUGCCCGACGAACAAUGGGGGCAUGCCAGGGAUGAAUGGCGACGACGAGCUACGGAUGGGCAAGGGCGACUGCGGCUGGCGAUGGA